AGGACGAACGCUGGCGGCGUGCCUAAUACAUGCAAGUCGAACGCAUUUUCUUUCACCGUAGCUUGCUACACCGAAAGAAAAUGAGUAGCGAACGGGUGAGUAACACGUGGGUAACCUGCCCAUCAGCGGGGGAUAACACUUGGAAACAGGUGCUAAUACCGCAUAAUUCCAUUUACCGCAUGGUAGAUAGAUGAAAGGCGCUUUUGCGUCACUGAUGGAUGGACCCGCGGUGCAUUAGCUAGUUGGUGGGUAACGCCUACCAAGGCUGCGAUGCAUA
This 277-nucleotide ribosomal RNA is filed under the name uncultured soil bacterium. Its description in RNAcentral is "partial 16S ribosomal RNA". It matches the Rfam family "Bacterial small subunit ribosomal RNA", at positions 26 to 285 of the family's 1533-position model. The record is from RNAcentral.